Molecule: unclassified non-coding RNA, 529 nt
Filed under: Hevea brasiliensis (rubber tree)
Lineage: Eukaryota; Viridiplantae; Streptophyta; Magnoliopsida; Malpighiales; Euphorbiaceae
Source: RNAcentral
AGGACUUCAUCUUCCAAAUACAAGCUUCAUUUUUCGGAAGGUAGAAGACCUUUUCCCCUCCAACGAAAACAGGUAGAAUGCCACCAUGUUCAUCGAUAAAUUGUGCUGUGUUGAAGGAUUAACAAGAGCUCAAAGAAGUAACAGACACACCCUUAAUGCUUUCUUUCCCCAGUUUGAUUAUUGCAUGAAGGAAGUGCUUGAGAUUUUCGAAAGACAUGAUCCUAUUAAAAGAUGAGAGAUGAUCAAACUUCUAAGCUAGGAGCGAACUUAGCUUAGAAGUUAUGCAUUCACAUGAACUCAGUAGCUUUUGUCUAGACUCGAUAUAUGUAUUACUGGAGAGGAGCCAAAUCCAAAGUUGAGAGCUUCGCGCACUUUACAACGUCUUCUUGUACUUUAAUUAUCUCUAUAUGUACAUUUGUUUGUGUCAUGUUGUAUUUCUCAGUUACACAACUAUGAUAUUUUUUGCUCGUCUUUUUAAGCAUGUAAUCAGUUUAAACUUACUGUUUUUAAGGGUCCGUUUGGAUGAGCU